CUCCUACGGGAGGCAGCAGUCGGGAAUAUUGCACAAUGGGCGAAAGCCUGAUGCAGCGACGCCGCGUGAGCGAAGAAGUAUUUCGGUAUGUAAAGCUCUAUCAGCAGGGAAGAUAAUGACGGUACUUGAGGAGGAAGCCCCGGCUAACUACGUGCCAGCAGCCGCGGUAAUA
This 172-nucleotide ribosomal RNA is filed under the name uncultured bacterium. Its description in RNAcentral is "partial 16S ribosomal RNA". It matches the Rfam family "Bacterial small subunit ribosomal RNA", at positions 336 to 525 of the family's 1533-position model. The record is from RNAcentral.